GUGACUUGGAGGGUGAGGCAACGCUUCACAGAAGAGUUGGCACCUGAACACACAGGGUUUUGAAAGAUGAAUAGGCCUAGGACAAUUGGACACAGGAUCAAAGGGCAUCCAGGAUUGUGCAAAACACUGGCAGAAACAUCACAGAUUGAAAACUGCUGGAAGAACGCAUUCACCGUCAGUGAAGGAAAGCUGGUCUGGUGCACUCUCAAGCUUUCCAAGAAAAAAAACCAAGUUUUCAAAUAAAAGCAGAGGAGGAAAGUUUCACCAGUGCUUGUUCUGAGAAACCUCUUAGCCUCUCUUUGCUUUGUUUUGCUCUUUCUGUUUUGCUUCCCUCUUAAAGAGUGCUGGCUUAAAACCUCAGUGAAAGAAAAGUACUUCAACUUUACUGUGGAAAAAGGAAACUGAAAAGUAGGCAAAGGCCAAGGGAUACAUUUUUUUAAACAUUCACUCUUUCCUGGAAUAUACAAAUGAAGCAAAAUUACAAAUUCAUGUAUUAUGGGUCUGAAAUAUUUAUUCCAAUUCUUUUCUCCACCAGCUCCAUAAAUAUUUAUUCUAUGCCCACUGCUUGUUAGUUUCUGGGAUACCAGGCCGAUGAGGCAGUCUCUUCCUCUCCUCCUUUGAGCAAGCUUGUGCUUGCAAUCCUGUAUAAGAAAUAAGAGGAGGGCAACAACUUGUAUCUUGUGCCUUCUACACAUGCCAACCAUAGCCUGAAGUUCACAGCAAAGUUAAAUUCCAGUUAAGUAAACCAGUGAGGUCAUAAUACACUUAAAUAACAACUGAGACGUGAGAAACUAACAGAGAUCCUCAGCAUGACUAAGAGAUAUCGUGAAAUUACAACUCAACAAUGAAUUACAGCACAGGCUUUUCACAACUAAGAGACUGUCCAUCAUGGUGCCAGUUUUUCUCAAAAUGGCAUGUGUGCAUGAAAUUCUACAGGCAUAUGGGGUCGUGAUCUGCUAAUCUCCAGUUAUUAUAACUACUUUGAAAAGGGACUUUCCAGCUAUCAGUACACUAUCUCACAAUUACCCUUGAACCAGAAGACAAUGAAUGAUUUGCUAAACAGAUGGCAUAGUCUAUGACAUGCAUCAUAUGUGUGAGCAAUCACAGAAGACUCCUUCCUGUUGCCUUGUGAAGAAGGCUCCUGCUUCCCCUUCACCUUCUGCGCGAUUGUAAGUUUCCUGAGGCCUCCUAGCCAUGCUUCUUGUUCACUCUGCGGAACUGUCCUGAGCUGAAAAGAAUAUGAGAAAUCGGAUUUUACGACAUACCAAAUUAUGAUUGUAUGUCCCAGAAAUUCACUUAGAAGCUAAUAGAAAAAAUGAAACCAAAGCCUUUUGAGAGUUGAAAAUUUAUCAUGACAUAUGCUGGCUGCACAGUCAAAACUUAUCACUGCCCACGACUUCGGAAGCAUGACAGGAGAGCUGUGGGAGCCACUUCCUCGUCAGACGUGGUUUGAUAUGUCAAGUGAGAACCUGAGUAAAGCAAAGAGGUGAACUAUGACUUGGAAUCCUCCAGGCUUUGGCUUCCAUCACACUCCAUGAACUUGAUGCACAUAAUUUAAUGUAGGCCUCCACCCAAUAUCAUCAGUUCUCUUGCAUGUUGAACCCCCAGUUUCCUGGAUCUGACCAACAUGACCUUAAUGUUCCUAUCAGCUCGACUAAACUUUAAAGAGAUUUCUUCCUCAAUAUGGGCCUCUAACUUCCCUUUUCUUAGAGCAUUUACUUUAGAAAUUUUGCAAUUAUCAAUUUUUUCUCCCUAUUUUUGAGAUGUAAAUUUUCUACAACUCAGGAAUGUCUUUCUCAAGGACAUGAGAGAUAUCCCUUUGAAAUGUAAUUGUGAAAAAUGAUAGCACCUCUAUUUCAAUCUGUGUAGGAGAGUAGGAGCCUAACUCAGGUAAGUGACAUUUAGCAAACUCAGAUGGCCUAAACACAUUCACCAACUUCCCCACUAAUGUACUCCCUACUGGUUCAUGUCAGCAUUUAAUAAUCCUUCUGCUUUCUUUUCAGUGGAGCUGAGUUCAGUCUGUCUCUCUUCUGCAGUGGUCUUCUCUCCCAUUGCAAUGGUCUUGAGUAAAGUGUUCUUUGUUUGUUUUACUUGGAGAUGAUGUCAGUUCAAUAUUGAAGUCUCUCUUCCCUACUACAGUAGUUCAAAUAAAAUCCAUCUUGCCAUUCUUAACAAGUAUUGGUAUAAUUUCUCUUUAACAUUUCUCGUGUCUUUCUCUUAAUUGGUUUCUUCUCUUGUUUUACAGAGCAUGUUAGUCACUAGUUUCUUAAGUCUGAUGAAUGUGCUUUCAUUACAUUUUUAUAUUAAUUGACUGAUAUUUUGGAUGGACACAUUUAUACUGCUUGGUUAAAUACGAUUUUCUCUCAGAAUCAUGUGGAAAUUUCUCCGUUAUUUUCUAGUUUCUGUUUUUGCAGUUGAGAAGUCCAAUAUCAUUUUGCUUCCCUACAUUUUUAAAAAAUGUAACCUGUUUCCAUUCUUUCUUUCUUUUGGUAUUUUGCAUCUGUUUUUAAAAAAGCAAUGAUAUAGUUCCAAAACCAUUGAAGAGUAUAAAGGAUAUUAUAAUAACGUCAUUAUACCCACCAC
This 2583-nucleotide long non-coding RNA is filed under the name Homo sapiens (human). RNAcentral's name for it is "HSALNT0112715". Lineage: Eukaryota; Metazoa; Chordata; Mammalia; Primates; Hominidae. The record is from RNAcentral.